Long non-coding RNA from Mercenaria mercenaria, 2635 nucleotides. RefSeq lists it as uncharacterized. The record is from RefSeq and is a predicted model, not a curated record. The transcript is spliced from 3 exons. Lineage: Eukaryota; Metazoa; Mollusca; Bivalvia; Venerida; Veneridae.
GACGCACCAUGACAUUUUGGGUCCAAAUUCGGCGUUACGUCAUUUGAGAAAACAUCGAUUAAAGUUACGUCACAAAAAAAAUGGUGGACGUUACCACGUGUUCGCGGCAAUUAAUGCAUUUCUUGUUUUCAAUAAUACUCUACCUUGCCACAAGAAAAAAAUGAAGUGACAUUUAUAAACAUUUCCGUGUUUUGCAAUUCCGUUUCUUUAAAAAAUUUAAAUGAUUGAUAAUUUAUCGCCCUUUGAAUCGACACGCCAUUUGUAAACAUGGAAGGUCGCGGAGAAAAUGAAACUACCAAAAACAAUUAUUUGAUGAUUUAUUUCGAUUGUAUAAAGAAUGACAGUUAGCGAAUCUCAAGAUCAGCCACUGAGGAUUGUUUGGCUUGAUGCAAUGACCUUAAACAGUGAAAUGAUUUUCCAGGAAAGUCUAUACACAACAAGCUGGAUUUUAUGGGGUGAUGAAAGAACUAUGAAUAUGUAAAUGGGAAUGAAACAGAAGGAAUUAAUAUGUUCUACUGAUCAUCCAGCUGAAAUCAUGCCUGUGGAAUAGAGUGCAUGACACAAAUACUGAUACGAGCAAAUAACUCCAUAUUGCACAAAUAAUGUCAUGUUUCCUGCCCUCAUGACAUGAAAAAGUUAAAAAAAAAUUCUAGUUCAAAUUACAAAUGUGUUUCAAGAAAAAGUAAAACUUAGUCAGCUGUGAGAAAUAUUGGAUAAAAGUAGUGUUUUGAUGUCAUGACAGCUGUGAAGUUGUUUGAAAAGCACUAUCCUAAUUGUUCUAACAAUACAGAAUUUAACUUAUAAAUUUUCCAAAACUGCAUGCAUGAAAUACUAAGACAUGUCUGUUGAAUGAAUCCUAGUUGUUUCAAAACUGCAACAUGUGUGACAUUAAAGCACAACCUUUGGAGGAAACAUUUUUACAAUAAAAACUGCCUUGCCAGUGUGAGUGUAGGAAGGAUUUUUCCAGAAAUAGCAUAAAAACUACCAAUAUAGCAGAAAAUAUUUGUUAGUGGCUGAAUAUAAUAUAUUUUAUUUCAAGAAUUAAUCAUGUUAAUCCAUGGUUAUAAUUGUGUUAAAAGAUAUUUUUACAUGACAUGACCUUUGCAGAAAUAGCUAUUUUUUGCAAAACAUUGUGAGUUGCCAUGGUAAAACAAAUUUGACUUAAAUUUAGAUUUGUUUGAUUAUGUAGAGAGCAUGUGUCUUGUUUAUAUUCUGCUAAUCAGACUAUGUUCUGCAAGAAAAUAUCUUUUAUGUGUAACCAUCAACAAAACAUGUCAUAACACAAUGGCAGAGCUGUAAUGCAGGUAGGCAUAUCAGGAAAGUAUGUAGUUCUGAAAGACAAGUUAUAUUACAUAAAAUGAUGUUUGUUUUUUAUAAAUGAUCAUAACUGACCAUUUGUGGUGUAAAACAAAUGUAUACUGAACAGAUGCUAAAUGAAUGUUCUGAUUCUUUCUGGAAAAUUUACAAAAAACUACUAUUUUAAGAAAAAUAGUGCAUUGUUGCCAUGGUAACAUUAAUUUAACUUUUAAAUUAUUUUGGAUAUCAUCAUAUGUAAACAACAUCUUUCUUGUUUAUAUGUUAUAUAUGUUAAGCUGUAUUAUGUUAGUGAAUAUAUUUUCAUAUGUAAUAAUUGCAUCAACAAAGCACUAUGUUAUUACACAAGCCUGCCUUAAAAUGGCAAUAGUUGUAACUGAGAGAGGUGUAUCUGAAUAUUAUGUAUUUCUCAAACCAUAUUACAUUAAUUUUCACGGAAUGAUGUCUACUCUCUUACUUUUAAAUAAGAAAACAGACAGCUUUUGAUGUAAAUAUAUGGAAUAACACUUCCAAUAUUCAAUUUAUUACAAAGAAAUUGCCAAAAAUGUUAGUAUUUUUGUAAGAAAAUACCACAUUGUUGCCAUGGUAAUGUUAGUAUUUUUGUAAGAAAAUACCACAUCGUUGCCAUGGUAAUGAUUCACUUAUCAGUAUAUCUAAGUCUUUUGAAAUUUUAGCAAACUCACAGUUGAUAAUAACAAUCUAAUAAUUAUAUCUUCUUGCCGGAUUUUCUUUCUUACUGUUUAAUAGAUAAGGUGUCUGUAAUAAUAAGAUUAAUGUCCUAGUUUUUGGGAUGUUGUCUAAUUUGAUAUCAAAUAAAUUCUGUAUCUUGUUCAAAAGAAUGUCAUAAAACAGUAGUCUGUAAACUGUUAGCACACUAGAAAAAGUUAAUUGUGUAUUUAUUUCACAUUCUAUGUAAUUUAUUGCUAGAUUCACCAAGAGACUGUUAAAAAAGAGGUUAAACAACAGUGUUGCUAUAGAAACGAUUUUUAGAACAUAAAUAUUUUUAUACUACAUGAAAGAAAGAGACAAAAAGAAAUACAUUCCGUUAAUUGCAUGUUGCUUUUGUUAUUUUAUCAUGUAUUUUAUCUUGAUAUUAUAUAAAUAUGGUGUCAUUAUUAAGAUAUACUGCCUCAAUUUCGAUACAGUUAGACAAAAACAUGGUGUCCGAAAAGUGGUAAUAUCUCCAUGACAACGACUGAUUUUUGUUGUCAAAUUGAAGAUUUUUACUCAGAACGGGUCAGUCUGUCAGAUUAGCCCAAAACCCCAUUUUUGACCAAAAUUGCAUUUGGACCCAAAAUCUCAUGCUCUGUCACAUAUCAGA